This 2773-nucleotide long non-coding RNA is filed under the name Olea europaea subsp. europaea. The record is from RNAcentral. Lineage: Eukaryota; Viridiplantae; Streptophyta; Magnoliopsida; Lamiales; Oleaceae.
UUUCAAUUUCGUUUCGGGCCAACAACUUAAUUGCUACCCUCAAAACUAAUAAUUUUCUGGUCUGAAAAAUACAAAUAAAGUAUUAAUUUUAUUUUCCCAACAAUUUUCAUAUAGAAAAUAUCAGCCAAAAAAUAAACAGAGAAAUUGAGAGAUCCGUCUUCAUUGUCUCGCCAGAGCUAAAUCACCUGUAAAUUCUUUUGCUGUUUGUUCCAAUCGUUAUCCGCACUUGAUCUCUCUGCAAACAUGGUAAUAGUACGAUAUUUCUCUAUUAUAUUUACUUAUUGGCCUUUUUUUGUCAUUUGAAUUUAUUUUUUUUUAUUUUGAUUUGUAUUUGGUUUUUGUUACGUUUCUUUUCUAAAUUAUGCCUUUUAAUGGUUUAAUUUAGAAUUGUUCACUCGUCUUUAUGCUUAUAAAUUUGCUCACUUAACCUCAAUAUACAUAAUUUAGCGCAAAAAACCAAUAAUUAGGACGUAGAAAGAACAAAUUUUAAUUAUAAUUUAUCUGAGACGACGUUGUAGGAAAUUAGGAAUCACGAUUGAAAUGGUGAAAGAAAUGGAUAAUGGCUAAUGCAAUUAACAACAUUUUGAUUACUACACUGGGAGCAUCAAAUCUUUAUAAUGUAUCGCAUCACUGGGAAGCAAAAAUCUUUAGUUUUUAUUCCUUUAACUCUCAGAAAUAUUUUGAAAUGAAGUGAUGGUUGUUUCUUUGUUGCUAGUCAAUUCUUAUUUUAAUUCAGUUUAUCAAAAGAUGAUAGGAGGUUUGCAAAGUAUAUGUAGAUAUACUUAGAAAGGGAAAAAGAAACUAAGAAAAAAUAUAUAGAAAAGUUUUGCUGCUGGAGAUUGCAGCUUCCCUUGGGGUUCAGUUAGGAUGAUAGAUAAGGAAAUGAACCACAUAUCCAUAUCUACAUCGCUUUGAAUUUAAAGUUGUAUUUCAGCAAAGUCUUAUCCCCAUACUUGUUUGGAAUCGAUCCUCCAAUUUCUCUCAACCUAUCAAAGCCAUCUGUAAGGUUAAAGAACAAAGAUUCAAAUUCAUUUUUCUUAUAAAAACUAUGCUAAUUGUCUACUUGCAUUGACUUGCUUCGCAGCAUGUACAAUCACCAACUUUUUUUUAGGGAACCUGAGAUUAUUAGCCGUGUAAAGCUAAGCCUUAGUCACAAUAAAAUUUAGGAUGGGCUAAAUGGAUUUUUUGCCAUUCUAUUUGGUUUAUCACAACUAGAUUCUUCGCAGCUCCCACAGGCCAUAGAGUGCUUCUAAAUAUUAAGAUAUAUAAUUUCUACAAGUCAAACUGGAAAAUGCUUUUGGUAUAAAGACUUUAUCCACUUGUCUUUAUAGCAAAAGCAUUUUCUCUUCAGUACUCAUAAACAGUUAGGGUCUUCUCUUCAGUACACAUAAAUAGCUGUGUGGCACUUGUUUAUUUAUUGAUAUACUUUAGCACGCCAUGCAACAGUUUGGGAAACUCACAUAUUAUCAUUAAUAUUUAUCUGGUAUUUAGACAACUUCUCGGAGGCUUGCUGAUAGGAAGGUGGAGAGGUUUCAGAAAAACAUUACCAAGCGCGGGGCUAUCCCUGAAACUGGCACCAAGAAGGGAAACAAAUAUCCUGUUGGUCCUAUCUUGAUUGGGUUCUUCAUUUUUGUCGUCAUUGGAUCAUGUAAGAUUUUAUUUUCUCCUUCGUUAUAGCUCUCUCGAUUAUUAAUAUCCAUCUCAUUUCCUUGCUUUGAUUUUAUUGGUCUUUUUUGCUUCUGUUGAUGUCAUAUCCCCUAAUACUGACCAUUCUUGGGAACUAGAUAUUAGUAACUAUGAUAUAUUUCUGUUUAUGUGUACUGAAGAGAAGACCCUAACAGAAAAAAUCAAGUUCCUGAACUAAACUAUACGCUUUGAAGAGUCUUUUGAAAAAUUGUUUCUAAAAGUCUUUGUAGUUAUUGAUGGGAAUCGGAGUUUCUUUGGGACAUUUCCAAGAGGGUUGUCUGGACCUAACAACUAAAUAAAUAUUAAUUAUUAUAAAUUUUUAUGUUCUUGCUUAAUUAAAAACUGCCUUGUGGUCUAAAUAUAGUAUCAUGAAAAUUGGCAAGUACCUGGUCACUGAACCAGCAAUUGUGAAACUUAAAUUAAGUUGCAGAUCAUCUAACUUUUCCGGUGUGUUUGUAGCCAUCCAUUUUUUAGCUUUUUGAUAAAGGAGGACAAUCCGAUUGAAGCAUGCAACAUAUUAGUUGUGCUAUAUAUGUGUGCUUUUCCAUUCGGUUAUAGGUUAUACUUGUAUUUGGUGUGUUAUACUACCGUUCAGUGCUUAAAGUAAACGAGUGAUGUGCUGUUGAACGGCCUAAUUCUGCUCUGCUAUUUUUUGCAUUGUUUCCAUAUUUCUCCAAAUUUCAAGUUGGCUAAUGCUCCUUUCUACCCUUUGUCUGUCUCUUCUUCCAGCUUUAUUCCAAAUAAUCAGGACUGCAACAAGUGGAGGCAUGGCUUAACCAGUAAUCAUGAUCUUUGAUACAGAUGAUAGCGGGUUGUUAUUGUAUUUUUUGGGUUAGUAGCAUCAAUAUUGAAACGCCAGAGAACCUUCAUUAGUUCAGAAUUUAAUCUUCGAAAACUCAUUAAAUAUUAAUAAGAAUAUCCUAUUCUAUUCCAGUUUUUGUUUUUCUUAUCUUUAUUAUGUUAUCAGAUGACUUGCUGUGUAUCUUAAAUGGAUUUACUGCAUGUCAUCGCAAGAAUCGUUUCACUUCAAUAUGCCCGUUUUCAUUGAUUAGAUGAAGUUAUAUGAUUGAAUCGAGCUCAUUAGCAC